CCAGUGACUACAAGUUCAACGGCCGCGGUAUUUUGACCGUGCAAAGGUAGCGCAAUCACUUGUCUUUUAAAUAGAGACCUGUAUGAAUGGCUAAACGAGGGCUUAACUGUCUCCCCUUUCCAGUCAGUGAAAUUGAUCUACCCGUGCAGAAGCGGGUAUAAUAAUACAAGACGAGAAGACCCUUUGGAGCUUAAGGUACAAAACUCAACCACGUUA
This 216-nucleotide ribosomal RNA is filed under the name Carassius carassius (crucian carp). RNAcentral describes it as "partial 16S ribosomal RNA". It matches the Rfam family "Bacterial large subunit ribosomal RNA", at positions 1863 to 2122 of the family's 2925-position model. The record is from RNAcentral. Lineage: Eukaryota; Metazoa; Chordata; Actinopteri; Cypriniformes; Cyprinidae.